This 500-nucleotide ribosomal RNA is filed under the name uncultured bacterium. RNAcentral's name for it is "bacterial SSU rRNA". It matches the Rfam family "Bacterial small subunit ribosomal RNA", at positions 29 to 518 of the family's 1533-position model. The record is from RNAcentral.
AUGAACGCUGGCGGCGUGCCUAACACAUGCAAGUCGAACGGAGUGUAGACGCUGUGCGAAGAAGUGCUUGCACGGAUUCAAACUGUUACACUUAGUGGCGGACGGGUGAGUAACGCGUGGAAAACCUGCCUCAUACAGGGGGAUAACAGGAAGAAAUUCCUGCUAAUACCGCAUGAGCGCACACUGUCGCAUGGCAGAGUGUGAAAAGAUUUAUCGGUAUGAGAUGGUUCCGCGUCUGAUUAGCCAGUUGGCGGGGUAACGGCCCACCAAAGCGACGAUCAGUAGCCGGCCUGAGAGGGCGGACGGCCACAUUGGGACUGAGACACGGCCCAGACUCCUACGGGAGGCAGCAGUGGGGGAUAUUGCACAAUGGAGGCAACUCUGAUGCCAGCGACGCCGCGUGGGUGAAGAAGUUAUUCGUAAUGUAAAGCCCUAUCAGCAGGGAAGAUAAUGACGGUACCUGACUAAGAAGCCCCGGCUAACUACGUGCCAGCAGCUGC